Molecule: ribosomal RNA, 163 nt
Filed under: Lespedeza buergeri
Lineage: Eukaryota; Viridiplantae; Streptophyta; Magnoliopsida; Fabales; Fabaceae
Description: 5.8S ribosomal RNA
Rfam family: 5.8S ribosomal RNA
About the family: 5.8S ribosomal RNA (5.8S rRNA) is a component of the large subunit of the eukaryotic ribosome. It is transcribed by RNA polymerase I as part of the 45S precursor that also contains 18S and 28S rRNA. Functionally, it is thought that 5.8S rRNA may be involved in ribosome translocation.
Source: RNAcentral
GAACGACUCUCGGCAACGGAUAUCUCGGCUCUCGCAUCGAUGAAGAACGUAGCGAAAUGCGAUACUUGGUGUGAAUUGCAGAAUCCCAUGAACCAUCGAGUCUUUGAACGCAAGUUGCGCCCGAAGCCAUUAGGCCGAGGGCACGCCUACCUGGGUGUCACAC